GAUGAACGCUGGCGGCGUGCCUAAUACAUGCAAGUCGAGCGAACGGACGAGAAGCUUGCUUCUCUGAUGUUAGCGGCGGACGGGUGAGUAACACGUGGAUAACCUACCUAUAAGACUGGGAUAACUUCGGGAAACCGGAGCUAAUACCGGAUAAUAUUUUGAACCGCAUGGUUCAAAAGUGAAAGACGGUCUUGCUGUCACUUAUAGAUGGAUCCGCGCUGCAUUAGCUAGUUGGUAAGGUAACGGCUUACCAAGGCAACGAUGCAUAGCCGACCUGAGAGGGUGAUCGGCCACACUGGAACUGAGACACGGUCCAGACUCCUACGGGAGGCAGCAGUAGGGAAUCUUCCGCAAUGGGCGAAAGCCUGACGGAGCAACGCCGCGUGAGUGAUGAAGGUCUUCGGAUCGUAAAACUCUGUUAUUAGGGAAGAACAUAUGUGUAAGUAACUGUGCACAUCUUGACGGUACCUAAUCAGAAAGCCACGGCUAACUACGUGCCAGCAGCCGCGGUAAUACGUAGGUGGCAAGCGUUAUCCGGAAUUAUUGGGCGUAAAGCGCGCGUAGGCGGUUUUUUAAGUCUGAUGUGAAAGCCCACGGCUCAACCGUGGAGGGUCAUUGGAAACUGGAAAACUUGAGUGCAGAAGAGGAAAGUGGAAUUCCAUGUGUAGCGGUGAAAUGCGCAGAGAUAUGGAGGAACACCAGUGGCGAAGGCGACUUUCUGGUCUGUAACUGACGCUGAUGUGCGAAAGCGUGGGGAUCAAACAGGAUUAGAUACCCUGGUAGUCCACGCCGUAAACGAUGAGUGCUAAGUGUUAGGGGGUUUCCGCCCCUUAGUGCUGCAGCUAACGCAUUAAGCACUCCGCCUGGGGAGUACGACCGCAAGGUUGAAACUCAAAGGAAUUGACGGGGACCCGCACAAGCGGUGGAGCAUGUGGUUUAAUUCGAAGCAACGCGAAGAACCUUACCAAAUCUUGACAUCCUUUGACAACUCUAGAGAUAGAGCCUUCCCCUUCGGGGGACAAAGUGACAGGUGGUGCAUGGUUGUCGUCAGCUCGUGUCGUGAGAUGUUGGGUUAAGUCCCGCAACGAGCGCAACCCUUAAGCUUAGUUGCCAUCAUUAAGUUGGGCACUCUAAGUUGACUGCCGGUGACAAACCGGAGGAAGGUGGGGAUGACGUCAAAUCAUCAUGCCCCUUACGAUUUGGGCUACACACGUGCUACAAUGGACAAUACAAAGGGCAGCGAAACCGCGAGGUCAAGCAAAUCCCAUAAAGUUGUUCUCAGUUCGGAUUGUAGUCUGCAACUCGACUACAUGAAGCUGGAAUCGCUAGUAAUCGUAGAUCAGCAUGCUGCGGUGAAUACGUUCCCGGGUCU
Molecule: ribosomal RNA, 1372 nt
Filed under: uncultured bacterium
Lineage: Bacteria
Description: bacterial SSU rRNA
Rfam family: Bacterial small subunit ribosomal RNA
Source: RNAcentral